CUUAUUAUAUUUAUUUUAACAUUGAUCUAUAUGUAUAUUUUUGUAUUGUUUUUAUUUCUAAAGGAAAUCUAAAGGUGGUUUUGCAGUAGAUAAUUUUAUUUAUAUUAAGGUGUUUUAGAUUUGGUAAAUGUUAAUUAGAAUUGGUUAAAAUUGUGCCAGCAUCCGCGGUUAUACAAUAAAUUCAAAUAAAUAUUAUUAGUUUUGAAGUAAUUAUUAUUUUGGGUUUAAUAUUAAUUAAGAUAUUUAAGGGUGAAAUAAAUUAAUAUUUUAGGGUUAUUAAAUGUAGAAGUAAGAAUGAAUUGCGAAAUUGAAGAUGUAAACUAGGAUUAGAUACCCUAUUAUUUUUAUUGUAAAACAUUUAAACUUGAGUAUUAGUAGAUAUGAUCUUGAAACUUAAAGAAUUUGGCGGUAUUAUAGUCUAUUUAGAGGAAUCUGUUAUGUAAUCGAUAGUCCGCGCUGAAUCUUACUUAUAUUAUUAUCUUGUAUACCGCUGUUUAUGAAUAUAUUUUUAGGUUAUUUUCUAGAUGUGCUAAUAAAAAGAAUUUCAAGUCAAGGUGCAGUAAAUAUAUAAGUUAAAUAAUGGAUUACAUUAAAAUGUAUUUAUUACGGAUAAUUACUUUAAAAUUAUUUGAAGGUGGAUUUAAUUGUAAUUUUAUUUAGAUUGUUAAAAUGAUUUAUAGCUCUAUAAUAUGUACACAUCGCCCGUCACUCUCAUUAUUAAGGUGAGAUAAGUCGUAACAAAGUAGRUGUAUCGGAAGAUGUUCCUAGAAAGAAUUUAAUAAACAGGUUAAGCUUAAAGUUAAGAUUUUCAUUUACACUGAAAUUAUUUAUCGUGCGAUUCGA
RNAcentral lists this ribosomal RNA (843 nucleotides) under Paratoxodera polyacantha. Its description in RNAcentral is "12S ribosomal RNA". The record is from RNAcentral. Lineage: Eukaryota; Metazoa; Arthropoda; Insecta; Mantodea; Toxoderidae.